This 1312-nucleotide ribosomal RNA is filed under the name Campylobacter coli. RNAcentral describes it as "bacterial SSU rRNA". It matches the Rfam family "Bacterial small subunit ribosomal RNA", at positions 100 to 1430 of the family's 1533-position model. The record is from RNAcentral. Lineage: Bacteria; Pseudomonadati; Campylobacterota; Epsilonproteobacteria; Campylobacterales; Campylobacteraceae. RNAcentral also lists the same sequence under 1 other name.
GCACGGGUGAGUAAGGUAUAGUUAAUCUGCCCUACACAAGAGGACAACAGUUGGAAACGACUGCUAAUACUCUAUACUCCUGCUUAACACAAGUUGAGUAGGGAAAGUUUUUCGGUGUAGGAUGAGACUAUAUAGUAUCAGCUAGUUGGUAAGGUAAUGGCUUACCAAGGCUAUGACGCUUAACUGGUCUGAGAGGAUGAUCAGUCACACUGGAACUGAGACACGGUCCAGACUCCUACGGGAGGCAGCAGUAGGGAAUAUUGCGCAAUGGGGGAAACCCUGACGCAGCAACGCCGCGUGGAGGAUGACACUUUUCGGAGCGUAAACUCCUUUUCUUAGGGAAGAAUUCUGACGGUACCUAAGGAAUAAGCACCGGCUAACUCCGUGCCAGCAGCCGCGGUAAUACGGAGGGUGCAAGCGUUACUCGGAAUCACUGGGCGUAAAGGGCGCGUAGGCGGAUUAUCAAGUCUCUUGUGAAAUCUAAUGGCUUAACCAUUAAACUGCUUGGGAAACUGAUAGUCUAGAGUGAGGGAGAGGCAGAUGGAAUUGGUGGUGUAGGGGUAAAAUCCGUAGAUAUCACCAAGAAUACCCAUUGCGAAGGCGAUCUGCUGGAACUCAACUGACGCUAAGGCGCGAAAGCGUGGGGAGCAAACAGGAUUAGAUACCCUGGUAGUCCACGCCCUAAACGAUGUACACUAGUUGUUGGGGUGCUAGUCAUCUCAGUAAUGCAGCUAACGCAUUAAGUGUACCGCCUGGGGAGUACGGUCGCAAGAUUAAAACUCAAAGGAAUAGACGGGGACCCGCACAAGCGGUGGAGCAUGUGGUUUAAUUCGAAGAUACGCGAAGAACCUUACCUGGGCUUGAUAUCCUAAGAACCUUUUAGAGAUAAGAGGGUGCUAGCUUGCUAGAACUUAGAGACAGGUGCUGCACGGCUGUCGUCAGCUCGUGUCGUGAGAUGUUGGGUUAAGUCCCGCAACGAGCGCAACCCACGUAUUUAGUUGCUAACGGUUCGGCCGAGCACUCUAAAUAGACUGCCUUCGUAAGGAGGAGGAAGGUGUGGACGACGUCAAGUCAUCAUGGCCCUUAUGCCCAGGGCGACACACGUGCUACAAUGGCAUAUACAAUGAGACGCAAUACCGCGAGGUGGAGCAAAUCUAUAAAAUAUGUCCCAGUUCGGAUUGUUCUCUGCAACUCGAGAGCAUGAAGCCGGAAUCGCUAGUAAUCGUAGAUCAGCCAUGCUACGGUGAAUACGUUCCCGGGUCUUGUACUCACCGCCCGUCACACCAUGGGAGUUGAUUUCACUCGAAGCCGG